AAAUUGAAGAGUUUGAUCAUGGCUCAGAUUGAACGCUGGCGGCAGGCCUAACACAUGCAAGUCGAACGGUAACAGGAAGCAGCUUGCUGCUUCGCUGACGAGUGGCGGACGGGUGAGUAAUGUCUGGGAAACUGCCUGAUGGAGGGGGAUAACUACUGGAAACGGUAGCUAAUACCGCAUAACGUCGCAAGACCAAAGAGGGGGACCUUCGGGCCUCUUGCCAUCGGAUGUGCCCAGAUGGGAUUAGCUAGUAGGUGGGGUAACGGCUCACCUAGGCGACGAUCCCUAGCUGGUCUGAGAGGAUGACCAGCCACACUGGAACUGAGACACGGUCCAGACUCCUACGGGAGGCAGCAGUGGGGAAUAUUGCACAAUGGGCGCAAGCCUGAUGCAGCCAUGCCGCGUGUAUGAAGAAGGCCUUCGGGUUGUAAAGUACUUUCAGCGGGGAGGAA
Molecule: ribosomal RNA, 452 nt
Filed under: Escherichia coli
Lineage: Bacteria; Pseudomonadati; Pseudomonadota; Gammaproteobacteria; Enterobacterales; Enterobacteriaceae
Description: bacterial SSU rRNA
Rfam family: Bacterial small subunit ribosomal RNA
Source: RNAcentral